AGAACGAACGCUGGCGGCAGGCUUAACACAUGCAAGUCGAACGGUUGUAGCAAUACAGCAGUGGCGCACGGGUGAGUAACGCGUGGGAACGUACCCUUCAGUCGGGAAUAACAGCGGGAAACUGCUGCUAAUACCCGAUAUUAUCUCCGGAUGAAAGAUUUAUCGCUGAAGGAUCGGCCCGCGUCAGAUUAGCUAGUUGGUGAGGUAACGGCUCACCAAGGCUCCGAUCUGUAGCUGGUCUGAGAGGACGACCAGCCACACUGGAACUGAGACACGGUCCAGACUCCUACGGGAGGCAGCAGUGGGGAAUAUUGGACAAUGGGCGAAAGCCUGAUCCAGCCAUGCCGCGUGAAUGAUGAAGGCCUUAGGGUUGUAAAGUUCUUUUGCCAGGGAAGAUAAUGACGGUACCUGGAGAAUAAGCACCGGCUAACUUCGUGCCAGCAGCCGC
This 448-nucleotide ribosomal RNA is filed under the name uncultured bacterium. RNAcentral's name for it is "SSU rRNA". It matches the Rfam family "Bacterial small subunit ribosomal RNA", at positions 26 to 518 of the family's 1533-position model. The record is from RNAcentral.